UGCUUUGCGCAGUGGCAUUACCAUAGUUAAUGAGGUUAAACCGAGACGUGGUUAUUGCUAGUUGAAAACUUUAUUACUAUUACUGACAUGAUUCAUUUUAGUGUUAGUUAAUAUCAACUUGUUAUUAAUAAU
Molecule: non-coding RNA, 132 nt
Organism: Hydra vulgaris (swiftwater hydra)
Lineage: Eukaryota; Metazoa; Cnidaria; Hydrozoa; Anthoathecata; Hydridae
Source: RefSeq, a predicted model, not a curated record